RNAcentral lists this ribosomal RNA (254 nucleotides) under uncultured bacterium. Its description in RNAcentral is "partial 16S ribosomal RNA". It matches the Rfam family "Bacterial small subunit ribosomal RNA", at positions 524 to 776 of the family's 1533-position model. The record is from RNAcentral.
UACGAAGGGUGCAAGCGUUACUCGGAAUUACUGGGCGUAAAGCGUGCGCAGACGGUUGCGUAAGUCAGAUGUGAAAGCCCCGGGCUCAACCUGGGAAUUGCAUUUGAGACUGCGUAGCUAGGGUGCGGAAGAGGGAAGCGGAAUUUCCGGUGUAGCGGUGAAAUGCGUAGAUAUCAGGAGGAACACCAAUUGCGAAGGCAGCUCGCUGGGACGUUACUGACGCUGGAGACGCGAAAGCGUGGGGAGCAAACAGG